Molecule: ribosomal RNA, 429 nt
Filed under: Actinomycetes bacterium
Lineage: Bacteria; Bacillati; Actinomycetota; Actinomycetes
Description: Actinobacteria bacterium partial 16S ribosomal RNA
Rfam family: Bacterial small subunit ribosomal RNA
Source: RNAcentral
UAGGGAAUCUUCCGCAAUGGGCGAAAGCCUGACGGAGCAACGCCGCGUGAGUGAUGAAGGUCUUCGGAUCGUAAAACUCUGUUAUUAGGGAAGAACAAAUGUGUAAGUAACUAUGCACGUCUUGACGGUACCUAAUCAGAAAGCCACGGCUAACUACGUGCCAGCAGCCGCGGUAAUACGUAGGUGGCAAGCGUUAUCCGGAAUUAUUGGGCGUAAAGCGGGCGUAGGCGGUUUUUUAAGUCUGAUGUGAAAGCCCACGGCUCAACCGUGGAGGGUCAUUGGAAACUGGAAAACUUGAGUGCAGAAGAGGAAAGUGGAAUUCCAUGUGUAGCGGUGAAAUGCGCAGAGAUAUGGAGGAACACCAGUGGCGAAGGAGACUAUCUGGUCUGUAACUGACGCUGAUGUGCGAAAGCGUGGGGAUCAAACAGG